Molecule: ribosomal RNA, 373 nt
Filed under: uncultured organism
Description: partial 16S ribosomal RNA
Rfam family: Bacterial small subunit ribosomal RNA
Source: RNAcentral
GUAGGUGGCAAGCGUUGUCCGGAAUUAGUGGGCGUAAAGCGCGCGCAGGCGGUUCUUUAAGUCUGAUGUGAAAGCCCACGGCUCAACCGUGGAGGGUCAUUGGAAACUGGAGAACUUGAGUACAGAAGAGGAAAGCGGAAUUCCACGUGUAGCGGUGAAAUGCGUAGAGAUGUGGAGGAACACCAGUGGCGAAGGCGGCUUUCUGGUCUGUAACUGACGCUGAGGCGCGAAAGCGUGGGGAGCAAACAGGGAUUAGAUACCCUGGUAGUCCACGCCGUAAACGAUGAGUGCUAAGUGUUAGGGGGUUUCCGCCCCCUUAGUGCUGCAGCUAACGCAUUAAGCACUCCGCCUGGGGAGUACGGCCGCAAGGCUG